GUCUUUUUGAGAAAAAUUUAAAGUCCAAUCUGCUCACUGAAUAAUUAAAGAGCCGCAGUAUUUUAACUGUGCAAAGGUAGCAUAAUAAAUAGUUUUUUAAUUGAAAACUUGUAUGAAAGAUUAGACGAAAAAUGUAUUUUCUUUAUUUUAUUAAAUUAAAUUUUAAAUUUAAGUGAAAAUGCUUAAUUUUAAUUAAAAGACGAGAAGACCCUAUAGAUUUUUAUUAUUAAACUAAAUUUUAUAUUAUGAUUUAAUUAAAUAAUUUAAUUGGGGCGAUUUUGUAAUAUGAAAAACUUAAUUUAUUUAUACCAUAUAUAAUUGAAUAUUUUGAUCUAAAAAUUUUAAAGAAAAGAUUAAAUUACCUUAGGGAUAACAGCGUAAUUUUAUUUAAGAGUUCAUAUCUAUAAUAAAGUUUGCGACCUCGAUGUUGAAUUAAGAUAAUAUAUUGGAGUAGAAAUUAAUAUAAUUAGUCUGUUCGACUAUUAAAUUCU
RNAcentral lists this ribosomal RNA (491 nucleotides) under Hyalopsocus sp. KY303. RNAcentral's name for it is "partial 16S ribosomal RNA". The stretch from base 369 to 491 matches the Rfam family "Bacterial large subunit ribosomal RNA", at positions 2473 to 2596 of the family's 2925-position model. The record is from RNAcentral. Lineage: Eukaryota; Metazoa; Arthropoda; Insecta; Psocodea; Psocidae.